GUCAUAAAUUAAAUAUAAACAUUCUAAGAUCAAUAGUGUGUGUAAGGACCCGACUAAGCGGGUCAAAGGUGCACAGGUGUAAGUGUAUCGGGACGAGCGUGCUCCCUCUCGGGGCACAGCUCAAUCCCUUUACUAAGAAAUCAAUAAUGAUCCUUCCGCAGGUUCACCUACGGAAA
This 176-nucleotide unclassified non-coding RNA is filed under the name uncultured fungus. RNAcentral describes it as "sequence contains ITS1". The record is from RNAcentral. Lineage: Eukaryota; Fungi.